CAGAGAUCAUCAUCUGGAAGAAGCUGAGCAUUGUGGAAGCUGCUCUUCAAGGCUCAGGUGCUGGAUGAAUGGAGUUGGGGACAUGACAGAGUGAGAGCACUGGCUGUAUCACAUUCUCCUCCUCAAACUUUCUACCUAUGGGACAGGAAACAGGGUUUGCCACAGAAACUGCCUCUGAGGAGACUGGACUAGAACUUUCACGAUGGCAUAAAAGGGCUGCACAUCCUGUCAGCAGGGCUGUCCGUCUGAAAGGCAGCCAGCUACUCACGUUUUUGCAGGCAUUGAGGACUUCCUUCACCAUCUUACCUGGUCUAUCCCACUGAUCUGGGUAUCUUCCAUCUGAAUCCACUUACCUAGUUCCUGGUUCUAGUCGUGAUUGCCAACACCAGCAGUCUCCUGGUUCCAACACAGUGAAGGUCCUGAGCUCCUCCUGUCCCCGGUAACCACUGGGUGCACAGUUGCAGGUCCAGGUCCCUACGAACCCAAGCAACGGAGAGACUGUCACUUAAGACCUGCAGCUAAUCCCACUUGAGAGCCAUCCUUCGAGAUACAGUACAGUUCUGGGAUACCUUGGUUUAGUUUGUUUUGUUAGAAGUGUAAAUUGCCAAGGGUUGUCUUGGGGACUGGGUUUCAGGUCCAUCUUUG
Long non-coding RNA from Mauremys reevesii (Reeves's turtle), 645 nucleotides. RefSeq lists it as uncharacterized. The transcript is spliced from 3 exons. NCBI's taxonomy places the organism in Eukaryota, Metazoa, Chordata, Testudines, Geoemydidae. The record is from RefSeq and is a predicted model, not a curated record.